AUUUCGUCCUCAGAGUAGCAGUCCCGAGGUUGAGUGUGACCCCAGAUCACCCCUCCCGUGGAGGUGCUUCUGCAGGGGAGGACCCGCAUGCUUGCUUGUGUUUACGCCUGGGGAAGCCCCUCUUGGCAAGAUGCUUGGAAGAGGCUCCAGAAGGCAGAGCUCAGAGGACGACUUGGUGUUUCAGAAGGAUUCACUUCAUGGUAGGAAAUUCUUUCCGAAGGAGAUGUCCACCAGCAGUGCCCAGAGUGAGCCCUGCCCAGAAAACCCACCCCGCUGUCCCCGCACCUAGCACGAGGGAGCAGAACCACACUCCUGCACCUUCCGUGUUCCCGGCCCUCUACGUAAGCAAUCCCGUUGAAUCUUCCAAACAGCCCUGUUGUCGUUGUCCUCGGUUUACCGAUGAAGAAUCAGGCCUGCAGAGCGUAAGUCAUUUGCCCAAGGUCACAUCUAAAAAGUAGUGAAGCUCUUCCCCACCUGCCCAGCUGUCCCCCACCCCAGAAUUAGAAAGUAGCAAGCUGAAGCUGCAUCUUGAUCUCCCUGAGGUGUCAUCAAGAAAACACAGGAGUCAGAGAUGAAGCCUCCAGCCACAGGGAAGUUUGACCCACCUCGUGCUCGAAAACCCGUUUGGGCGACACAAGCAAAUAAAGUGUCGGCGUUUGCAUGAGCAGCCUCCCAGCACAGAAGAGGAUGCACGGGGAUCUGACGCUAAGAGACAAGCUCUCCCACACGCGGCCCAGAGAGCCAGCGCCGCUCCCAGAACGCCCUCCAAGCGGGCCGCCUCUCCUGCGUCUUCCUUGUCACUUCCUGAGCAGAUGAGGAAACUGAGGCUCAGAGAGGCGAAGUCACUUGCUUCGAAGCACAAAGGGAUGGGAAGAAGGUUUUGACCCAGCCCCAGAUCUGUUCAUUGAGUGAAGGAAGAGACAGUGGCCAGUCCAGGGACACUGGGUCCAGCAGCAGCCUCCAGGGGCACCCUCUGCAGCGUGCUCCCUCGGGGACACGGAGAAGCCUGGCACCCUCCGAUGGCCCAGGGAGGACGGCCGGCCAGUCCCACGGUCCGACAGGAAGGAGGCACAACUCCUCGGCCCCCUAGAAAAUGGCCUGUGAGGAGGUGAUAAAGGCUAAACGAGGUCGUAGGAUGGGGCCCUAAAGCUAUAGAAGACGAAGAGACACCAGACCUUUCUCCGCCAUGUGAGGACAUUGUCCACAAGCCAAGAGGAGCGCUCACCAGGGACCAAAUUGGCCAGCACCUUGAUCUUGGACUUACCAGCCUCUGGAACCGUGAGAAAAUAAAUUUCUGUGUUUAAGCCACCCAGUGUGGUAUUUUGUUAUGGCAGCUGGGGCUGACUAAUAUGCACACGGUUGACCAAAACUAAACCUAAAAUUCAGUGCCUUAGUC
Molecule: long non-coding RNA, 1396 nt
Filed under: Equus asinus (donkey)
Lineage: Eukaryota; Metazoa; Chordata; Mammalia; Perissodactyla; Equidae
Description: lncRNA (ENSEASG00005029733.1)
Source: RNAcentral